RNAcentral lists this ribosomal RNA (433 nucleotides) under uncultured bacterium. RNAcentral describes it as "partial 16S ribosomal RNA". It matches the Rfam family "Bacterial small subunit ribosomal RNA", at positions 29 to 507 of the family's 1533-position model. The record is from RNAcentral.
AACGAACGCUGGCGGCAUGCCUAACACAUGCAAGUCGAACGAGACCUUCGGGUCUAGUUGCGCACGGGUGCGUAACGCGUGGGAACCUGCCCUUAGGUUCGGAAUAACUCCCCGAAAGGGGUGCUAAUACCGGAUAAUGUCUUCGGACCAAAGAUUUAUCGCCUUUGGAUGGGCCCGCGUUGGAUUAGCUAGUUGGUAGGGUAAAAGCCUACCAAGGCGACGAUCCAUAGCUGGUCUGAGAGGAUGAUCAGCCACACUGGGACUGAGACACGGCCCAGACUCGGACGGGAGGGAGCAGUGGGGAAUAUUGGACGAUGGGCGAAAGCCUGAUCCAGCAAUGCCGCGUGAGUGAUGAAGGCGUGAGGGUUGUAAAGCUCUUUUACACGGGAUGAUAAUGACAGUACCGGGAGAAUAAGCACCGGCUAACUCCGUG